GGAAUUUUGCGCAAUGGGGGAAACCCUGACGCAGCAAUACCGCGUGUGGGAUGAAGGCCUUCGGGUCGUAAACCACUUUUUUCGGGGACGAUAAUGACGGUACCCGAAGAAUAAGCCACGGCUAACUACGUGCCAGCAGCCGCGGUAAUACGUAGGUGGCAAGCGUUGUCCGGAUUUACUGGGCGUAAAGCGCGCGCAGGCGGUGAAUGAAGUCGAAAGUGAAAGCCCCGGGCUCAACUCGGGAACUGCUUUCGAAACCAGUUCACUUGAAGGCGGAAGAGGGAAGCGGAAUUCCGAGUGUAGUGGUGGAAUGCGUAGAUAUUCGGAAGAACACCAGAGGCGAAGGCGACUUCCUGGUCCGAUCUUGACGCUGAGGCGCGAAAGCUAGGGGAGCAAACGGGAUUAGAUACCCCGGUAGUCCUAGCUGUAAACGAUGGAUACUAGGUGUUGGAGGUUUUAACCCCUCCGGUGCCGCAGCUAACGCAUUAAGUAUCCCGCCUGGGGAGUACGGCCGCAAGGCUAAAACUCAAAGGAAUUGACGG
RNAcentral lists this ribosomal RNA (542 nucleotides) under uncultured bacterium. RNAcentral's name for it is "bacterial SSU rRNA". It matches the Rfam family "Bacterial small subunit ribosomal RNA", at positions 358 to 916 of the family's 1533-position model. The record is from RNAcentral.